CAGUAGCCGCGGUAAUACGAGGGGGGCAAGCGUUGUUCGGAAUUAUUGGGCGUAAAGGGUGCGUAGGCGGCUUGACAAGUCUUGUGUGAAAUCUAUGGGCUCAACCCAUAGUCUGCACGGGAAACUGUCUGGCUUGAGAAUGGGAGAGGUGAGUGGAAUUUCCGGUGUAGCGGUGAAAUGCGUAGAUAUCGGAAGGAACACCUGUGGCGAAAGCGGCUCACUGGACCAUUUCUGACGCUGAUGCACGAAAGCUAGGGGAGCAAACAGGAUUAGAUACCCGAGUAGUCCCUGUCUCUUAUAC
RNAcentral lists this ribosomal RNA (301 nucleotides) under uncultured bacterium. Its description in RNAcentral is "partial 16S ribosomal RNA". It matches the Rfam family "Bacterial small subunit ribosomal RNA", at positions 509 to 807 of the family's 1533-position model. The record is from RNAcentral.